UGGGGAAUCUUCCGCAAUGGACGAAAGUCUGACGGAGCAACGCCGCGUGAGUGAUGAAGGUCUUCGGAUUGUAAAACUCUGUUGUUUGGGAAGAACGGCUCAUAUGUGAAUAAUGUAUGAGAUUGACGGUACCAAACGAGGAAGCCCCGGCUAACUACGUGCCAGCAGCCGCGGUAAUACGUAGGGGGCAAGCGUUGUCCGGAAUUAUUGGGCGUAAAGAGCGCGCAGGCGGUUUGUUAAGUCUACCGUGAAAGCUUACGGCUCAACCGUAACGGGUCGGUGGAUACUGACAGACUUGAGGGCAGGAGAGGAAAGUGGAAUUCCCAGUGUAGCGGUGAAAUGCGUAGAGAUUGGGAGGAACACCAGUGGCGAAGGCGACUUUCUGGACUGUUACUGACGCUGAGGCGCGAAAGCUGGGGGAGUGAACGGGAUUAGAUACCCCGGUAAUCCCAGCCGUAAACGAUGGGUACUAGGUGUAGGAGGUAUCGACCCUUCUGUGCCGGAGUUAACGCAAUAA
Molecule: ribosomal RNA, 517 nt
Filed under: uncultured Bacillota bacterium
Lineage: Bacteria; Bacillati; Bacillota
Description: bacterial SSU rRNA
Rfam family: Bacterial small subunit ribosomal RNA
Source: RNAcentral